UCGUUUUCAGGCAUGAUUUGCAUUCGAGACCGGCUAAUCAAGUUUCGUGUGAUUGCCGAUAUUGACAGCACCGGUCAAUAUCAUUAACCUUUCACUCACCCCGGUCAUCCACUUCGGAUGCCAUUAGCCAAAGCUAAUCAUUCAUUUGUCUCGGCCAUCCAUCCGGAUGUCAUUAGCCGAAGCUAAUCAUUCGUUGUCCCG
This 201-nucleotide long non-coding RNA is filed under the name Populus tremula. RNAcentral describes it as "long non-coding RNA (PTRE_LNC003057)". The record is from RNAcentral. Lineage: Eukaryota; Viridiplantae; Streptophyta; Magnoliopsida; Malpighiales; Salicaceae.